Triticum dicoccoides is the source of this 225-nucleotide long non-coding RNA. RefSeq lists it as uncharacterized. The record is from RefSeq and is a predicted model, not a curated record. The transcript has 2 exons. NCBI's taxonomy places the organism in Eukaryota, Viridiplantae, Streptophyta, Magnoliopsida, Poales, Poaceae.
UGCAUGUACACAUACGGUUGAGAAAAUACCGAGCUGCAGUGGAACAACCUGGAGUUAGAGAACUUCAAGUACAAGAUCAACGAGGUGACCGGCAUUAUGGUGGCUGUGUACGGCGGCGACCACAAGUUCUUCGAUGCUGGGCUUUCAUGUUUCUUCGUGAGCAUCAGGACAAAGAAGUCGGAGGAAGCAUAGUUCUAACAUUGCUGUCAAGUGUCAAGUUUUGCA